GCGGUGGUAGUCUAGCUGGUUAGGACACAACCCUGCCACGGUUGAGACCCGAGUUCGAAAGCCGGCAUAUAGUUUAUGCCUGCCGCAUAUCUCGGCCACCGCA
RNAcentral lists this transfer RNA (103 nucleotides) under Candidatus Aenigmatarchaeota archaeon. Its description in RNAcentral is "tRNA-Gly". It matches the Rfam family "tRNA". From Rfam's summary of the family: Transfer RNA (tRNA) molecules are approximately 80 nucleotides in length. Their secondary structure includes four short double-helical elements and three loops (D, anti-codon, and T loops). Further hydrogen bonds mediate the characteristic L-shaped molecular structure. tRNAs have two regions of fundamental functional importance: the anti-codon, which is responsible for specific mRNA codon recognition, and the 3' end, to which the tRNAs corresponding amino acid is attached (by aminoacyl-tRNA synthetases). tRNAs cope with the degeneracy of the genetic code in two manners: having more than one tRNA (with a specific anti-codon) for a particular amino acid; and 'wobble' base-pairing, i.e. permitting non-standard base-pairing at the 3rd anti-codon position. Lineage: Archaea; Nanobdellati; Candidatus Aenigmatarchaeota. The record is from RNAcentral.